GACGAACGCUGGCGGCGUGCCUAAUACAUGCAAGUCGAACGAACUCUGGUAUUGAUUGGUGCUUGCAUCAUGAUUUACAUUUGAGUGAGUGGCGAUCUGGUGAGUAACACGUGGGAAACCUGCCCAGAAGCGGGGGAUAACACCUGGAAACAGAUGCUAAUACCGCAUAACAACUUGGACCGCAUGGUCCGAGCUUGAAAGAUGGCUUCGGCUAUCACUUUUGGAUGGUCCCGCGGCGUAUUAGCUAGAUGGUGGGGUAACGGCUCACCAUGGCAAUGAACCGUAGCCGACCUGAGAGGGUAAUCGGCCACAUUGGGACUGAGACACGGCCCAAACUCCUACGGGAGGCAGCAGUAGGGAAUCUUCCACAAUGGACGAAAGUCUGAUGGAGCAACGCCGCGUGAGUGAAGAAGGGUUUCGGCUCGUAAAACUCUGUUGUUAAAGAAGAACAUAUCUGAGAGUAACUGUUCAGGUAUUGACGGUAUUUAACCAGAAAGCCACGGCUAACUACGUGCCAGCCGCCGCAGUAA
RNAcentral lists this ribosomal RNA (530 nucleotides) under uncultured bacterium. RNAcentral's name for it is "partial 16S ribosomal RNA". It matches the Rfam family "Bacterial small subunit ribosomal RNA", at positions 28 to 523 of the family's 1533-position model. The record is from RNAcentral.